UGAGGAAUUUUGCGCAAUGGGAGCAAUCCUGACGCAGCAACGCCGCGUGGGUGAAGAAGGCCUUCGGGUCGUAAAGCCCUGUCAGGUGGGAAGAAGGGUCCUAUCAGGAAAGGGGUGGGAUUUGACGGUACCACCAGAGGAAGCACCGGCUAACUCCGUGCCAGCAGCCGCGGUAAUACGGAGGGUGCGAGCGUUAUUCGGAAUUACUGGGCGUAAAGCGCGUGUAGGCGGGGGAGCAAGUCUGAUGUGAAAGCCCCGGGCUUAACCCGGGAAGUGCAUUGGAUACUGUCGAACUAGAGUACAGGAGGGGUGAGCGGAAUUCCAGGUGUAGAGGUGAAAUUCGUAGAUAUCUGGAGGAACAACAGCGGCGAAGGCGGCUCACUGGACUGUAACUGACGCUCAGAUGCGAUAGUG
RNAcentral lists this ribosomal RNA (414 nucleotides) under uncultured bacterium. Its description in RNAcentral is "bacterial SSU rRNA". It matches the Rfam family "Bacterial small subunit ribosomal RNA", at positions 355 to 761 of the family's 1533-position model. The record is from RNAcentral.